UCCCGUUUAGCUCAGCUGGUAGAGCGCGUCACUAGUAGCCUGGCAUGUCCAGCCCGCAUGACGAGGUCAGUCGUUCAAGUCGGCUAAUGGGAA
Dentipellis sp. KUC8613 is the source of this 93-nucleotide non-coding RNA. NCBI's taxonomy places the organism in Eukaryota, Fungi, Basidiomycota, Agaricomycetes, Russulales, Hericiaceae. The record is from the annotation of a GenBank genome assembly.